AGGGGGAGCAGAACCAACAGGGAUUGCCUCAGUAACGGCGAGUGAAGCGGCAAAAGCUCAAAUUUGAAAUCUGGCCCUCUCAGGGUCCGAGUUGUAAUUUGUAGAAGAUGCUUCGGGUGUGGUUCCGGUCUAAGUUCCUUGGAACAGGACGUCAUAGAGGGUGAGAAUCCCGUAUGUGACUGGGUACCUACGCUCAUGUGAAGCUCUUUCGACGAGUCGAGUUGUUUGGGAAUGCAGCUCUAAAUGGGUGGUAUAUUUCAUCUAAAGCUAAAUAUUGGCCAGAGACCGAUAGCGCACAAGUAGAGUGAUCGAAAGAUGAAAAGCACUUUGGAAAGAGAGUUAAACAGUACGUGAAAUUGUUGAAAGGGAAGCGCUUGCAAUCAGACUUGCACCUGGUGUUCAGCGGGGUUUCGUGCCCCGUGUACUUCAUCAGGUUCAGGCCAGCAUCGGUUUGGGUGGUUAGAUAAAGGCCUUGAGAAUGUGGCCCUCUUCGGGGGGUGUUAUAGCUCUCGGUGCAAUGUAGCCUACCUGGACCGAGGACCGCGCUUCGGCUAGGAUGCUGGCGUAAUGGUUGUAAGCGACCCGUCUUGAAACACGGACCAAGGAGUUGAAUAUCUAUGCGAGUGUUUGGGUGUUAAACCCCUACGCGUAAUGAAAGUGAACGGAGGUGAGAACCCUUUAGGGUGCAUCAUCGACCGAUCCUGAUGUCUUCGGAUGGAUUUGAGUAAGAGCAUAGCUAUUCUGACCCGAAAGAUGGUGAUCUAUACGUGAAUAGGGUGAAGCCAGAGGAAACUCUGGUGGAGGCUCGCAGCGGUUCUGACGUGCAAAUCGAUCGUCAAAUUUGCGUAUAGGGGCGAAAGACUAAUCGAACCAUCUAGUAGCUGGUUCCGCCAUUUUUUCCUC
RNAcentral lists this ribosomal RNA (903 nucleotides) under Mycopappus alni. Its description in RNAcentral is "eukaryotic LSU rRNA". It matches the Rfam family "Eukaryotic large subunit ribosomal RNA", at positions 48 to 974 of the family's 3401-position model. Lineage: Eukaryota; Fungi; Ascomycota; Leotiomycetes; Helotiales; Sclerotiniaceae. The record is from RNAcentral.